RNAcentral lists this ribosomal RNA (465 nucleotides) under Vreelandella stevensii. Its description in RNAcentral is "partial 16S ribosomal RNA". It matches the Rfam family "Bacterial small subunit ribosomal RNA", at positions 338 to 795 of the family's 1533-position model. Lineage: Bacteria; Pseudomonadati; Pseudomonadota; Gammaproteobacteria; Oceanospirillales; Halomonadaceae. The record is from RNAcentral.
CCUACGGGUGGCAGCAGUGGGGAAUAUUGGACAAUGGGGGCAACCCUGAUCCAGCCAUGCCGCGUGUGUGAAGAAGGCCCUCGGGUUGUAAAGCACUUUCAGUGAGGAAGAACGCCUGGUGGUUAAUACCCAUCAGGAAAGACAUCACUCACAGAAGAAGCACCGGCUAACUCCGUGCCAGCAGCCGCGGUAAUACGGAGGGUGCGAGCGUUAAUCGGAAUUACUGGGCGUAAAGCGCGCGUAGGUGGCUUGAUAAGCCGGUUGUGAAAGCCCCGGGCUCAACCUGGGAACGGCAUCCGGAACUGUCAUGCUAGAGUGCAGGAGAGGAAGGUAGAAUUCCCGGUGUAGCGGUGAAAUGCGUAGAGAUCGGGAGGAAUACCAGUGGCGAAGGCGGCCUUCUGGACUGACACUGACACUGAGGUGCGAAAGCGUGGGUAGCAAACAGGAUUAGAUACCCCUGUAGUC